This 249-nucleotide ribosomal RNA is filed under the name Clostridioides difficile. Its description in RNAcentral is "partial 16S ribosomal RNA". It matches the Rfam family "Bacterial small subunit ribosomal RNA", at positions 1294 to 1533 of the family's 1533-position model. Lineage: Bacteria; Bacillati; Bacillota; Clostridia; Peptostreptococcales; Peptostreptococcaceae. The record is from RNAcentral.
CGGAUUGUAGGCUGAAACUCGCCUACAUGAAGCUGGAGUUACUAGUAAUCGCAGAUCAGAAUGCUGCGGUGAAUGCGUUCCCGGGUCUUGUACACACCGCCCGUCACACCACGGGAGUUGGAGACGCACGAAGCCGAUUAUCUAACCUUUUGGAAGAAGUCGUCGAAGGUGGAAUCAAUAACUGGGGUGAAGUCGUAACAAGGUAGCCGUAUCGGAAGGUGCGGCUGGAUCACCUCCUUUCUAAGGAGA